MicroRNA precursor from Equus asinus (donkey), 113 nucleotides. Lineage: Eukaryota; Metazoa; Chordata; Mammalia; Perissodactyla; Equidae. The record is from Ensembl.
UAACCAGGCCGCAAAGGCUGUAGGGAGGCUGGGCUAUAGGCCCGUGGGCCGGAGAGGAGCGGGCUGAAACCGAGGAAGCUGUGGCUUAGCACUGAACGGAGCCGUCUGAAGUG